CAGUGCCAGGCCUCGACGUCACCCGAACACACGAAAGGCGGCGACGUUUACGCGUGGUGUUGACACACUUUUGUGAACUCCGUAACACCUUGACGGUCGCGGCGCGGCCUGAUCGAUCCGUUCGCGGCCCAUUGUGGAAACUUGGUCGACGGGAUUUUACGGGUUUUAUCAGUGGGAAAUUUCGUCCUCGCGUCGACCGAGUUAAACGCUGCGGUGUACGCGACAUGGGAGACUGCUCGAUUGUCAGAAUUUCCAGCACGAGGACUCGAUACUUUUGAGUUAAAUGUGACCAGUCUACGCCUGGGAAAACGAUGUUGGAGAUGGGGGAUGUGAGUACUUCCUUGAACAACGUGUGAAUGAACAUAAUUAUGAAUGCUGAAGUUAUAAAAUCGUGAAAAGAUCUUCAAAUAUUCUACGUUCUGUCGCGACUACUUAACGAAGAACUUGUCAUGCAUGGCUAAAUCAUAAAAUCAUGAUGAAUUAUUGAAUCAUUCUACAUUCUUCUACUAGUGAAAUGAAAAACGUGUAACACAAGCUGAAAUUAUUAAAUCGCGGUGUAUUUUUGAAACAUUCUACAUUCUUUUCCUAGUAAAAUGAAUG
Long non-coding RNA from Hylaeus volcanicus, 600 nucleotides. RefSeq lists it as uncharacterized. Lineage: Eukaryota; Metazoa; Arthropoda; Insecta; Hymenoptera; Colletidae. The record is from RefSeq and is a predicted model, not a curated record. The transcript is spliced from 3 exons.